UCCCUGGUAGCUCAGCUGGUAAAGAAUCUGCCUGCAAAGCAGGGGACCCUGGUUCGAUUCCUGGGUUGGGAC
Molecule: transfer RNA, 72 nt
Organism: Ovis aries (sheep)
Lineage: Eukaryota; Metazoa; Chordata; Mammalia; Artiodactyla; Bovidae
Rfam family: tRNA
About the family: Transfer RNA (tRNA) molecules are approximately 80 nucleotides in length.
Source: Rfam